This 1447-nucleotide long non-coding RNA is filed under the name Nicotiana tabacum (common tobacco). RNAcentral describes it as "long non-coding RNA (NTAB_LNC014696)". Lineage: Eukaryota; Viridiplantae; Streptophyta; Magnoliopsida; Solanales; Solanaceae. The record is from RNAcentral.
UUUGUAUUUCUUUUAUGUACAACUUUUCCUAGGAGGUUACCCAAAAACAUUUCUGUAUAUAAGUUUGGAUUUGUACACUUGAGAAGAUACAAUUUUUCUUCCCAUUCAUCAAAUAUACAAGCAGAAAAAAAUUACAGUUCAUUAAUUUUUUCAUGGUAUCAGAGCAUGUUUAAUUCUGGUAUUUUUCUGCUUUCUCAGUCACAAAUCAGCUCCUUUCUUUUCUUCUUCUUUCAUCUUCAUUUUAUCUGAUAUGGGUACUUCACCAGAGUCAGCUGAUACUCUAGCUUCUGCUUCUGCUGUUACCACUAAUGCUCCUGCACCUGCAGUGACCUUUGCUUCAGGAGUAAUUGACUCCACUCACCCUUAUUACCUUCAUCCUUCUGACUAUCCAGGGAUGAACCUUGUAUCCUCAGCUUUUGAUGGCAAAGGAUAUGGAGGUUGGAGAAGGGCAGUCAUCAUUACCUUGUCUGCAAAGAACAAGCUGGGAUUCAUCGAUGGUACUCUUAUUAUCCCUAAGACUGAUUCUGCAGUCCAGCAGACUUGGGGUAGAUGUAAUGAUAUGGUACUCUCAUGGCUUCUCAACUCCUUGUCCAAAGAGAUAGCUGAAAGUGUGCUCUAUUCACAAAGUGCAAAGGAUUUGUGGAGUGACCUGGAAGACAGAUUUGGACAGGCAAAUGGAGCAAAGUUGUUCCAAUUACAAAAGGAAUUAAGUUCAGUAGUACAAGGUAAUUCAAGUGUAUCAACUUACUUCACCAAAAUCAAAAGCCUAUGGGAUGAACUAGAUGCACUCAAUACAUUUUCUGCUUGUGUAUGUGAGUGUGAGUGUGGUGCAAAAGUCAAAAGCUUGAAAGCACACCAAGAUGAGAGACUAUUGCAUUUCCUAAUGGGACUAAAUGAUAUAUUUAUUGGGGUAAGGAGUAACAUUCUAUUGUCAUCACCUUUACCCUCCAUUAGACAGGCAUACUCUCUUGUGAUUCAAGAUGAAAAGCAAAGGGAGAUACAUGCUACCCCUGCAUACUCAGGAGAAUCUGCCUCAUUCAUUGCUACCAACCAACAAGGAAAUUUCAGAAGAUUUAAUAAGAACAGGAUGCAUAAAACAAGUUUUGAAUCUAAGAAAUAUGUAGGAAUUUGUUCCUAUUGCAAAAAACCUGGACAUAGCAUCCAGAAAUGUUAUAGAAUUCAUGGGUUUCCAGCUGAUUUCAAGUUCACAAGGGAGAAAAGAUUUCAAGGAGUUGCCCAGGCAAACAAAGCUUCUUUCUCAAAUGAAGAAAAUGAACAGGGAAGUGCAUCAGGAGUUCAGAAUCUCACCAAGGAAGAUGUGGCUGAGCUGCUGCAGCUUCUUCAACAAGUGAGAGUGGGACAUUCCAGUGCAGAUACCCCUGAUGUUGCAGCAAAUGUGAGCCAUGCUGGUAUGACCAAUUUAUCUGAAGAUUUAGCCUGUUUAAUU